RNAcentral lists this long non-coding RNA (406 nucleotides) under Musa acuminata (dwarf banana). RNAcentral describes it as "long non-coding RNA (MACU_LNC005845)". The record is from RNAcentral. Lineage: Eukaryota; Viridiplantae; Streptophyta; Magnoliopsida; Zingiberales; Musaceae.
CCGCAUCUUCGAUCUCUUCGACCAGAACGGCGACGGGGAGAUCACCAUCGAGGAGCUCGCACUCGCCCUCGACCGCCUCGGCCUCGGCGCCGACGCCGACGCCGACGAUCUCAGAUCCACCGUCGCCGCCUACAUCCCCACCGGCCGCGCCGGCCUGGCCUUCGAGGACUUCGAUGCCCUCCACCGAGCACUCGGCGACGCGCUCUUCGGCGGCCCCGCUGCCAUGGAGGAAGAAAUGGAAGGGGAGGAGGGGACGGUGGAGGAAGACAUGAGGGAGGCAUUCCGGGUGUUCGACGAGGACGGGGACGGCUUCAUCUCGGCGGCGGAGCUCCAGGCGGUGCUCGCCAAGCUGGGGCUACCGGAGGGGCGGAGCAUCGCCCGGGUCCAAGAGAUGAUCUGCUCCGUC